Molecule: ribosomal RNA, 253 nt
Filed under: uncultured bacterium
Lineage: Bacteria
Description: partial 16S ribosomal RNA
Rfam family: Bacterial small subunit ribosomal RNA
Source: RNAcentral
UACGUAGGCAGCAAGCGUUGUUCGGAGUUACUGGGCGUAAAGGGUGUGUAGGCGGUUGCUUAAGUUUGGUGUGAAAUCUCCCGGCUCAACUGGGAGGGUGCGCCGAAUACUGAGUGACUCGAGUGCGGGAGAGGAAAGUGGAAUUCCAGGUGUAGCGGUGAAAUGCGUAGAUAUCUGGAGGAACACCGGUGGUGUAGACGGCUUUCUGGACCGUAACUGACGCUGAGACACGAAAGCGUGGGUAGCAAACAGG